Molecule: ribosomal RNA, 232 nt
Filed under: uncultured bacterium
Lineage: Bacteria
Description: partial 16S ribosomal RNA
Rfam family: Bacterial small subunit ribosomal RNA
Source: RNAcentral
UACGUAGGGUGCAAGCAUUAUCCGGAGUGACGUGGGCGUAAAGAGUUUGCGUAGGUGCUUUGUAAGCGAAUAGUGAAAUGUGGCGGCUCAACCGUACACACUAUUAUUCGAACUGCAAGGCUUGAGAAUGGUAGAGGUAACUGGAAUUUCUUGUGUAGGAGUGGAAUCCGUAGAUAUAAGAAGGAACACCAAUGGCGUAGGCAGGUUACUGGACCAUUUCUGACACUGAGGC